GGGGGGGGGGGUCAAUUACAGUGCAGUUAUGUAUGAGUGCACAAGUUAGCAUAUACAGACAGGUACGCAUCUGUGGAUCAACCAGAUAGCCUCUGUUGCCGCGGGGCAGAAGUGGGCUGGGCUGGGCGGGCGACGCAUUGUGGUCUGGAGCAGAGAGAACUCGGGAAACUAGCUUGCAUCACAGCAAUGAAGACGAAGAUCAUCAUCCAUUUUCAGGGUUUCCGCUCUUUUCUUGAAAUUAUUUUCCAGGACUUCUUACGGCUUUUUAUCUGCUAUACUAUGAGCCAAGUUAUCACAACAUACACAAAUAAAUUCCCCCACAAGC
Hippocampus comes (tiger tail seahorse) is the source of this 325-nucleotide long non-coding RNA. RefSeq lists it as uncharacterized. Lineage: Eukaryota; Metazoa; Chordata; Actinopteri; Syngnathiformes; Syngnathidae. The record is from RefSeq and is a predicted model, not a curated record. The transcript has 2 exons.